Molecule: unclassified non-coding RNA, 350 nt
Filed under: soil metagenome
Description: partial contains 5.8S ribosomal RNA, internal transcribed spacer 2, and large subunit ribosomal RNA
Rfam family: 5.8S ribosomal RNA (bases 1-120)
Source: RNAcentral
GAUGAAGAACGCAGCGAACUGCGAUAAGUAAUGUGAAUUGCAGAAUUCAGUGAAUCAUCGAGUCUUUGAACGCACAUUGCGCCCCCUGGCAUUCCGGGGGGCAUGCCUGUCCGAGCGUCAUUGCUGCCCUUCAAGCCCGGCUUGUGUGUUGGGUCGUCGUCCCCCCCGGGGGACGGGCCCGAAAGGCAGCGGCGGCACCGCGUCCGGUCCUCGAGCGUAUGGGGCUUUGUCACCCGCUCGAUUAGGGCCGGCCGGGCGCCAGCCGGCGUCUCCAACCUUCUAUUUUACCAGGUUGAUCUCGGAUCAGGUAGGGAUACCCGCUGAACUUAAGCAUAUCAAUAAGCGGAGGA